This 499-nucleotide long non-coding RNA is filed under the name Cricetulus griseus (Chinese hamster). Its description in RNAcentral is "lncRNA (ENSCGRG00015040549.1)". Lineage: Eukaryota; Metazoa; Chordata; Mammalia; Rodentia; Cricetidae. The record is from RNAcentral.
CUCCCCGCGAGUCUUCCCCUGGUGAAUGCAAGCGAGCCAGCUGCUGCCUGAACUCCGGUGCGCCGGGUUUUCAGAGCUGCCACAAGCGCGAGGAGGGAGGGGGGCACACAGCAGCCACAGAGCACUGGGUUCAUAACUAGGAUUGGUCGCAAGUAGGGAGCUUUUGCCACUCCGCUGGGACCCUGGGACGCUGGCGGCAUCGUGCGCUGGGUUCUCCUAAGAGCUGCUUUGGGUGCCUCGGAUUCAUUUGGCAUUGUAGAAUUUUCUAACUGAGGAAAUUCCGCUAGAGCUCACUUGGGAAUUUCUGCAGUUUGGUGUCAGAGAAUCAAAUUCUUCAGACUGAGCUAAAGGAAACACUCCAUGUGGGUUCUGAUUGAAAACAAAGGGGAUUAUUGACACAUAGUAUCUCCACAGCAUGUGGCUCUCAGAGCUGCCCUAAAAGUUUGUUUAUAUGGUGGAUUUUCAUAUAUUGAACCAACCCUGUAUCUCUGGGAUGAAG